This 71-nucleotide transfer RNA is filed under the name Pochazia shantungensis. Its description in RNAcentral is "tRNA-Ser". The record is from RNAcentral. Lineage: Eukaryota; Metazoa; Arthropoda; Insecta; Hemiptera; Ricaniidae.
AAGUUAAUAAACCAAAAAAAAGGUGUUAUGUCUUGAAAACAUAAAAAAGAUAAAUAAAAUCUAUUAACUUU